RNAcentral lists this ribosomal RNA (733 nucleotides) under uncultured bacterium. Its description in RNAcentral is "bacterial SSU rRNA". It matches the Rfam family "Bacterial small subunit ribosomal RNA", at positions 771 to 1501 of the family's 1533-position model. The record is from RNAcentral.
AACAGGAUUAGAUACCCUGGUAGUCCACGCCGUAAACGUUGGGCGCUAGGUGUGGGGGCCAUUCCACGGUUUCCGUGCCGCAGCUAACGCAUUAAGCGCCCCGCCUGGGGAGUACGGCCGCAAGGCUAAAACUCAAAGGAAUUGACGGGGGCCCGCACAAGCGGCGGAGCAUGUUGCUUAAUUCGAUGCAACGCGAAGAACCUUACCUAGGCUUGACAUGCACGGAAAUCUCGCAGAGAUGUGGGGUCCGUAAGGGUCGUGCACAGGUGGUGCAUGGUUGUCGUCAGCUCGUGUCGUGAGAUGUUGGGUUAAGUCCCGCAACGAGCGCAACCCUCGUUCCAUGUUGCCAGCACGUUAUGGUGGGGACUCAUGGGAGACUGCCGGGGUCAACUCGGAGGAAGGUGGGGAUGACGUCAAAUCAUCAUGCCCCUUAUGUCUAGGGCUGCAAACAUGCUACAAUGGCCGGUACAAAGGGCUGCGAUACCGUGGGGUGGAGCGAAUCCCAAAAAGCCGGUCUCAGUUCGGAUUGGGGUCUGCAACUCGACCCCAUGAAGUUGGAGUCGCUAGUAAUCGCAGAUCAGCAACGCUGCGGUGAAUACGUUCCCGGGCCUUGUACACACCGCCCGUCACGUCACGAAAGUCGGUAACGCCCGAAGCCGGUGGCCCAACCCUUGUGGAGGGAGCCGUCGAAGGCGGGGAUCGGCGAUUGGGACGAAGUCGUAACAAGGUAACC